Long non-coding RNA from Oncorhynchus tshawytscha (Chinook salmon), 708 nucleotides. The record is from Ensembl. Lineage: Eukaryota; Metazoa; Chordata; Actinopteri; Salmoniformes; Salmonidae.
CUUCCCACUUCAACUGUAUUUAUUUAAUCAUAGCAGAUUAUACAUUUUUACUGUAUAUUGAAUUUGAAUUGGGUUAUGGCUAUACUUGUUAUUUUACCAUUUAUGCAUUAACCUUUAUAUAUGUUUAAAUAAGUGAUGUCAUAUUUAGUUAUUUCAGGGGGAAUUGUGCAUGUGUAGACGCAUAAACUGAAUUAAUAUAAUUACUUAAAAUAUUUUGAAUGUCAAUAGGUUUGUUUAGUGUCUCUUGCACAAUGGUAGGCCUGGUUUAAUGAGUUUUGCUGAAUAGUCAAAAGAGUAGACCUGGUUUAUCAGAGUAUUGUUGAGGGGAUUGCCUGAUACCUGGUUUGUAUGGAUAUUUGGGCUGAGAUAUGCAGGUGUAGAUCUGCUUUAUAUUAGUAUUGGGAGUCAGUCAAAGGUGUAGACCUGUUUUUUAGGAGUACUGGAGCUGAGGUGCAGGCGUAGAACUGUUUUUUAGGAGUACUGGAGCUGAGGUGCAGGCAUAGAACUGUUUUUUUAAGAGUACUGGAGCUGAGGUGCAGGCGUAUAACUGUUUUUUAGGAGUACUGGAGCUGAGGUGCAGGCGUAUAACUAUUUUUUAGGAGUACUGGAGCUGAGGUGCAGGCGUAGAACUAUUUUUUAGGAGUACUGGAGCUGAGGUGCAGGCGUAGAACUGUUUUUUAGGAGUACUGGAGCUGAGGUGCAGGCAUA